UUUAACCUUCAGCUAAGUUAGUAUCAUAUUA
RNAcentral lists this transfer RNA (31 nucleotides) under Placobdella sp. 2 DdC-2017. Its description in RNAcentral is "partial tRNA-Leu". Lineage: Eukaryota; Metazoa; Annelida; Clitellata; Rhynchobdellida; Glossiphoniidae. The record is from RNAcentral.